UGGGGAAUAUUGGACAAUGGGCGAAAGCCUGAUCCAGCCAUGCCGCGUGUGUGAAGAAGGUCUUCGGAUUGUAAAGCACUUUAAGUUGGGAGGAAGGGCAUUAACCUAAUACGUUAGUGUUUUGACGUUACCGACAGAAUAAGCACCGGCUAACUCUGUGCCAGCAGCCGCGGUAAUACAGAGGGGGCAAGCGUUAAUCGGAAUUACUGGGCGUAAAGCGCGCGUAGGUGGUUUGUUAAGUUGGAUGUGAAAUCCCCGGGCUCAACCUGGGAACUGCAUUCAAAACUGACUGACUAGAGUAUGGUAGAGGGUGGUGGAAUUUCCUGUGUAGCGGUGAAAUGCGUAGAUAUAGGAAGGAACACCAGUGGCGAAGGCGACCACCUGGACUAAUACUGACACUGAGGUGCGAAAGCGUGG
RNAcentral lists this ribosomal RNA (417 nucleotides) under uncultured bacterium. RNAcentral describes it as "partial 16S ribosomal RNA". It matches the Rfam family "Bacterial small subunit ribosomal RNA", at positions 355 to 764 of the family's 1533-position model. The record is from RNAcentral.